This is a long non-coding RNA of Ornithodoros turicata, 2760 nucleotides long. RefSeq lists it as uncharacterized. The record is from RefSeq and is a predicted model, not a curated record. Lineage: Eukaryota; Metazoa; Arthropoda; Arachnida; Ixodida; Argasidae. The transcript is spliced from 3 exons.
GGCAAGGCGGGUCGUUAUUUGAAUAGAUGCCAAAUUGCAUGGUUUAUCCUACAUUCCAUCCCAGCCGUCAGGAGAAAUUAUUGCCUCUUUUAAAAAUAUUUCUACCUCACGCACAUUAAAGAUAAGUUCAUAUUCUAUAAAUAUACACACUGUAAAGCCUUCCAGAAAUCAAUUUCGCCUCAUUUUCUCUAUGCUUUAUUCGCUCACCUCAUGAAUUUCGCUGCAUGUCCCAUUUCACAAGCACUUGCUGAUGUUUCUUUCCAACGUUUACAAUUUCUGUACCCCACUGUGAUUCAGUUGAAGUCUCUGUGUCUCUAUCCUUCAAAUAUCCACUCUGAUGUCCCCGGAAACCAGUCUCGCCUCAUUUGCGCAAUGCUUUCGUCAUCCCCGUCAUGCAUUUUUCUGCUGCACCCAUUUCUAAAGUCUUUGCCUAUGUUAAAAAUAUUUCUACCCCACUUAGACUCAAUUUUGGUCACCAUUUUAUAAAUAGAUAUUCUGAAGCUUUUCAGAAAUCAGUUUCACCUCAUUUACUCCACGCUUUCAUCACUCAUCUCACACAUUUCCCUGGGUUGUCGAUUCCACAGCACUUGCCGAUGUUUCUUUCUAAUGUUGAGAAUAUUUCUACCCCACCAAGAUUUAACAGUAUCCCAUAAAUAGACACCCUGAAGCAAUCUAGAAACCGAUUUCACCUCAUUCAUUUUUUAUUCACAUAAUGGCCACGUUUUGAAAACGCUCGUCCUUUCCGGAGCACUUUGAGAAUUUUCUUUCCAAUGUGAAGAAUAUUUCUACCUGACUGAGAUACAAUCUCCUUACUCCAUAUACUCACUCCAUAUACUGUCACAAACACCCCUAGACAAUCUCGAAAUCAGUUUCACCUCAUUUGCUCAAUCCUUUCAUCACGCAUCUCAUGCAUUUCACUGAAUGGCCCAUUUCCGAUGCACAUGUCAAUGUUUCUUACCAAUUUUAAAAAUAUUUCUACUCCACUUAUUCUCAUGCUAACUGCAUAUCCUAUAACUAGACAUUGUCGAGCAUUCCAGGAACAAAUUUCAUGUCGUUUCAUUCGUUUCACCCCUCAGCUUGCACUUUCAAGGGUGCGUCACGCCUCCGAACCAUCCGCUCCUCAGCACCUUUCCAAUUUUACAGAUAUUUCUACCUCACACAGAUUUAAGGAUUCCAUUUGUGCAGCCCAAGUCUAUAAAAGAGAGAGGUCAAACAACAGCAAUGAUGCCUGAGGUGCCUGUUUGCCCCACAUGAACACCAACAGUGUAAAACUAUCAACUUUGAGGACUACGAAUCAGUCAAGAUUAUUCGUAAUAGUGAAAGCGGCACACUUCAUCGGGUGACACCUCUAGAGUGAACACCGCAAAUUAUAGGACUUCAUAUGUUCCUGUCAUCCACUACAAUGGUCCAAGUGUUUCACAAUGUAGGCAACGUGCAAGAAAAAAAAUGACCUUUGGCGGCCUGCAAAGGCGUGACAGUUAGUCAGUUGUAACGGCAGUGGCCACACGUGGAGCCAGAAAUGUGCGCUCGCUUGUACAUUCCAUCACUGCCAGUCAGAACUCAUGUUGAGGAAGCCAUCUCCUCCUGAUGGUCCUGAGGUUGAGGAAGUCUCCUCUACUAGAGGAGUAAGAACACACCAUGUGACGCCAUCGAGAACAUUCCACCUCUCCAGCAUCCUUUCCGUCCUGUGCGAGUAUCACCGUCUCUGUCGUGAGAAACACUAUAGGGGCACAGAGUCUUGGUAGCACCCAUCUAAGCCCUACACAGCCACAUCCCCCAUUCCCUGACACACUUCCUUUGCCAGCAGCAACAUUAGCAAGGGUGAAGCAAGUUCCUUAACUGGCUUAAAACUGUACUACAAUGCAACUUCAGCUACUGUGCAAUAAAUCCUCGACUCCAAUGACUAACGCGUCUAUCUACAAGACAACUUUAGCCCCACACCAUUACAUUGUUGAUUGGUAUGAGUUAAGGAAUCCUAAUUGAAUUUUUUAGUGUACCGGAUUCAGUGUGCAGAUAAACUGUUGUCUAAGAUUGUGAAAUGUAAAAACAUGUGUAUAGUUCAAAAUAAAUGAUAUACAAUGUGAAAACAUCUGUUUACCUUGGUUAGAAUUAGAAAUAAAAUUGCCAUAUUGCCACACAAGAGAUGCAGGAAUUGCUGGUUACAUGGUUCUGUUGUCCUAGUUCCUUGGCUAGCCGGCUAGGAUGCAGCUUGGAAGAAGGUACAUGAAAGUGCUCUUUCUCCACCUAUGUGAAGUUGAAGGAGAACGGAGCUCUGAAAAACAAAAAGAAAAGCAGGAUACCAAGACGGAAGCACAGCAAUAUCAGAAGUAGAUGUUGGACAGCAUAUAUUUCAUGACAUGCAAUUGUCAUAAAAAGGAAGGCAAAAAAAUUAACAGUAGUAACCUCCACAACAGCAUAGAACUUGUAGUCAUAAAAGUCACACAUUAAGCAUUUCUUACAUUUGCAGGGAUUUCUUAGAAGGAUUCGGCGUUAUAGUAUGGGGGAAAGCUGCAAAGUAUCAAAAAAGAAAAGAAAACUUGUAUGGCAAUGAAAAUAAUUUACUGGUAUGCUUCAUAACGCCCGGUUACAGGGUGUUCAAUUUCUGUAUAGAUUCCGAAUGUCAACCUAUAGGAUAUGGACUUCGAUUGAAAUGAGUGGAGAACAAUAUUUAACAUUGGAAUGAAAUUUUGCGAACUGCUCCAGACAGGACCUGUAUAUUCAAAAUGUGGCCAUUAUGUGAAUAAAAAGUUAACUGAAUGA